GCAGUUGUGGCGGAAUUGGCAUACGCGCUAGAUUCAGGUUCUAGUGGUCGCAAGACCGUGAGGGUUCAAGUCCCUUCAACUGCA
Molecule: transfer RNA, 84 nt
Filed under: Clostridiales bacterium
Lineage: Bacteria; Bacillati; Bacillota; Clostridia; Eubacteriales
Description: tRNA-Leu
Rfam family: tRNA
About the family: Transfer RNA (tRNA) molecules are approximately 80 nucleotides in length. Their secondary structure includes four short double-helical elements and three loops (D, anti-codon, and T loops).
Source: RNAcentral